UACGUAGGGUGCAAGCGUUAAUCGGAAUUACUGGGCGUAAAGCGUGCGCAGGCGGUUUUGUAAGUCAGAUGUGAAAUCCCCGGGCUUAACCUGGGAACUGCGUUUGAAACUACAAGGCUAGAGUGUGACAGAGGGGGGUGGAAUUUCGUGUGUAGGGGUGAAAUCCGUAGAUCUACGAAGGAACGCCAAAAGCGAAGGCAGCUCUCUGGGUCCCUACCGACGCUGGGGUGCGAAAGCAUGGGGAGCGAACAGG
This 253-nucleotide ribosomal RNA is filed under the name uncultured bacterium. Its description in RNAcentral is "partial 16S ribosomal RNA". It matches the Rfam family "Bacterial small subunit ribosomal RNA", at positions 524 to 776 of the family's 1533-position model. The record is from RNAcentral.